RNAcentral lists this ribosomal RNA (225 nucleotides) under uncultured bacterium. Its description in RNAcentral is "partial 16S ribosomal RNA". It matches the Rfam family "Bacterial small subunit ribosomal RNA", at positions 15 to 225 of the family's 1533-position model. The record is from RNAcentral.
GAUCAUGGCUCAGGAUGAACGCUGGCGGCGUGCCUAACACAUGCAAGUCGAACGGAGCUGCUUUGAUGAGAUCUUCGGAUGGAUUUAAAACAGCUUAGUGGCGGACGGGUGAGUAACGCGUGGGUAACCUGCCUCACACUGGGGGAUAACAGUUAGAAAUAGCUGCUAAUACCGCAUAAGCGCACGGUUCCGCAUGGAACAGUGUGAAAAACUCCGUGUGUGAGA